UACGUAGGGGGCAAGCGUUGUCCGGAUUUAUUGGGCGUAAAGAGCGUGUAGGCGGUUUGGUAGGUCCGCUGUGAAAACUCGAGGCUCAACCUCGAGACGCCGGUGGAAACCAUCAGACUAGAGUCCGGAAGAGGAGAGUGGAAUUCCUGGUGUAGCGGUGAAAUGCGCAGAUAUCAGGAGGAACACCGGUGGCGAAGGCGGGUCUCUGGGCCGUAACUGACGCUGAGGAGCGAAAGCCAGGGGAGCAAACGGG
This 253-nucleotide ribosomal RNA is filed under the name uncultured bacterium. RNAcentral describes it as "partial 16S ribosomal RNA". It matches the Rfam family "Bacterial small subunit ribosomal RNA", at positions 524 to 776 of the family's 1533-position model. The record is from RNAcentral.